AUUGAACGCUGGCGGCAUGCCUUACACAUGCAAGUCGAACGGCAGCACGGACUUCGGUCUGGUGGCGAGUGGCGAACGGGUGAGUAAUGCAUCGGAACGUGCCAUUGAGUGGGGGAUAACGUAGCGAAAGUUGCGCUAAUACCGCAUAUUCUGUGAGCAGGAAAGCAGGGGGACCGCAAGGCCUUGCGCUCUUUGAGCGGCCGAUGUCAGAUUAGCUAGUUGGUGAGGUAAAGGCUUACCAAGGCGACGAUCUGUAGCGGGUCUGAGAGGAUGAUCCGCCACACUGGAACUGAGACACGGUCCAGACUCCUACGGGAGGCAGCAGUGGGGAAUUUUGGACAAUGGGGGCAACCCUGAUCCAGCCAUGCCGCGUGAGUGAAGAAGGCCUUCGG
RNAcentral lists this ribosomal RNA (392 nucleotides) under uncultured bacterium. RNAcentral's name for it is "bacterial SSU rRNA". It matches the Rfam family "Bacterial small subunit ribosomal RNA", at positions 30 to 421 of the family's 1533-position model. The record is from RNAcentral.